RNAcentral lists this ribosomal RNA (422 nucleotides) under uncultured bacterium. RNAcentral's name for it is "bacterial SSU rRNA". It matches the Rfam family "Bacterial small subunit ribosomal RNA", at positions 355 to 774 of the family's 1533-position model. The record is from RNAcentral.
UGAGGAAUAUUGGGCAAUGCCCGAAAGGGUGACCCAGCAACGCCGCGUGGAGGAUGAAGGUCGUAAGAUUGUAAACUCCUGUUAGAGGGGAAGAAUAGUACCGGUUGGACCGGUAUAUGACUGUACCCUCAGAGAAAGCCCCGGCUAACUACGUGCCAGCAGCCGCGGUAAUACGUAGGGGGCAAGCGUUGUCCGGAUUUACUGGGUGUAAAGGGCGCGCAGGCGGGAUAAAAAGUCAGUGGUGAAAUCCUACAGCUUAACUGUAGAACUGCCUUUGAUACUUUUAUUCUUGAGUUCGGGAGAGAGAGACGGAAUUCCAGGUGUAGUGGUGAAAUACGUAGAUAUCUGGAAGAACACCAGUUGCGAAGGCGGUCUCUUGGUCCGACACUGACGCUGAGGCGCGAAAGCGUGGGGAGCAAACA